This 924-nucleotide ribosomal RNA is filed under the name uncultured Bacillota bacterium. RNAcentral describes it as "bacterial SSU rRNA". It matches the Rfam family "Bacterial small subunit ribosomal RNA", at positions 58 to 958 of the family's 1533-position model. The record is from RNAcentral. Lineage: Bacteria; Bacillati; Bacillota.
CAAGUCGAACGCGAAAGUUCCCUUCGGGGAGCGAGUAGAGUGGCGCACGGGUGAGUAACACGUAGGUAUCUACCUUUGGAUUGGGAAUAACCAUCGGAAACGGUGGCUAAUACCGAAUAAUGCAGCGGCACCUAAUGGUGACAGUUGUUAAAGCGGGGGAUCGCAAGACCUCGCGUCUGAAGAGGAGCCUGCGGCAGAUUAGCUAGUUGGUAAGGUAACGGCUUACCAAGGCAAUGAUCUGUAGCCGGCCUGAGAGGGCGGUCGGCCACACUGACACUGACAUACGGGUCAGACUCCUACGGGAGGCAGCAGUCGGGAAUUUUGGGCAAUGGGCGAAAGCCUGACCCAGCAACGCCGCGUGAAGGAUGAAAUCCUUCGGGAUGUAAACUUCGCAAGAACGGGAAGAAUAAGUAAGAGCUAACAUCUCUUAUGAUGACGGUACUGUUUGUAAGCUCCGGCUAACUCCGUGCCAGCAGCCGCGGUAAUACGGGGGGAGCAAGCGUCGUUCGGAUUUACUGGGCGUAAAGGGCGCGUAGGCGGCCACCGCAAGUCAGUUGUGAAAUCUCUGGGCUUAACCCAGAACGGUCAGCUGAUACUGCGGGGCUAGAGUGCAGAAGGGGCAACUGGAAUUCUCGGUGUAGCGGUGAAAUGCGUAGAUAUCGAGAGGAACACCUGCGGCGAAGGCGGGUUGCUGGGCUGACACUGACGCUGACAGCGCGAAAGCUAGGGGAGCGAACGGGAUUAGAUACCCCGGUAGUCCUAGCCUUAAACGAUGAAUGCUUGGUGUCUGGGGUUUUAUAGUCCCCGGGUGCCGUCGCUAACGCUUUAAGCAUUCCGCCUGGGGAGUACGGUCGCAAGACUGAAACUCAAAGGAAUUGACGGGGACCCGCACAAGCGGUGGAGCAUGUGGUUUAAUUCGACGCA